UUAUGCAUCAAUGUUCAUAGUGCUCUAAUACCAUGUUAAAACUGUUACUGUCCCAGUAAUUACUUGAAUGGUCGGAAGAGAAGUUCGAGAUUAGUUUUAUAUAUAUUCAUUACAUUAACACUGGAUUUCAUUUGACCAGCACUCGACCUAUAUAUAAUCGCAGGGCAUCAUGCAGCAAAACACAAGUCUAAAGCAGUGUAUAGUUAUAUAGCUAGCUAGUAGCUCUAUGGCGACAUCGCAGUUGGCUUUCUUAACUCUCAUGAUCAUACUGUUUCUGGUAUAAUGUUCUCAGUUUAAUUACAUGAUCAGUUUCUUUUAUUGCCUUUUGUUUUGUUUUAAUCAGUAACUAAUGGUUGAGAGCUAAACUAUGCACGCAGCUGAUUAGUGGGAGCAGUACCACUAACGCAAGGGAAGACAGAGCAGGAGUACUGCAGCCUCGAGUAGUAUCUAACUACGAAAAUGGUAUCGGUAUGGUUAAGUACUUCACCAAAGAUAUCGAAUCGCAACCUCAAGUCUCGAGCUACGUCGGGAAGUACUACAGAGGCAAGUACGCGAGCAGUAUCCAAUCGCAACCUCAAAUCUCCAACUAUGGAAACAGUGUGAAGAGUAGUGGUAAGUUCACGAGCUAGGGAUAUUCAGUCACAACCCCAAGUUUCAAGCUACGAUGACAAAUGAUAUCAUGAUCACCACCAGAUCAAAGCAUGUAUCAGCUUAGCUAUGGUAUGUAAUAAUGAAAUUUAGUCGUUUGUUUUCAUGAAUAAAGGUGUGGUUAGUUAUUGUUGUAACUAAGUCUAUUCUGCUGUAAAAUGUACGAUGGGAUGGCCGCGGAACUAGGGGUGAGCGAAUCUGGGCUAUAUCGCUCUUUGUAAGAUUAUUGAAUUAUUCGAAGUUUGUAUAAAGCGUACAAUAUGUAUCACAAUCUCUACAGAGUCCGACCAGGGCAGAAAUCCGGCGACUUUAUACAAUCUGCAUACGAGACUUUCAAUUUUUGUAAAGACGACACUGUUAGGGACAGUGAUAAGACUGAUACCUUGCCAACCAAGGUGAACGAAAUCACUCUUUCCCAUUAUAAACGAAGCAGACCAUACAAUUACAGUUUACAAUGCUAGAAUUCGAGUAGCAUGAACAUUGAUUGGAAACCACAUUCUUUAUCUCGAUUUAAGAAGUCAUCUUGUUCUAU
This 1180-nucleotide long non-coding RNA is filed under the name Linum usitatissimum (flax). RNAcentral describes it as "long non-coding RNA (LUSI_LNC002844)". Lineage: Eukaryota; Viridiplantae; Streptophyta; Magnoliopsida; Malpighiales; Linaceae. The record is from RNAcentral.